This 18-nucleotide small nuclear RNA is filed under the name Arabidopsis thaliana (thale cress). RNAcentral describes it as "snRNA_07837". The record is from RNAcentral. Lineage: Eukaryota; Viridiplantae; Streptophyta; Magnoliopsida; Brassicales; Brassicaceae.
UCCCAUCAGAACUCCGCA